GAAGUGGCACUUACAUAAAAUAAGCUACGGUGGAACAAAGGGUUAAAUAGUUUUAAAGCCACUAAACAGAAAAUACGACUGCAUAUUAGAUCUACCAAGAGUUGAUAAUCUUUCGAAGCCUAAUAAAAUGACUGAGGGUAAGAGGACCCGUUC
Molecule: long non-coding RNA, 153 nt
Organism: Perognathus longimembris pacificus (Pacific pocket mouse)
Lineage: Eukaryota; Metazoa; Chordata; Mammalia; Rodentia; Heteromyidae
Exons: 3
Source: RefSeq, a predicted model, not a curated record